CAUGCAAGUCGAGCGGUAACAGACAUAAAGAUUCAGCUUGCUGAAUCCGGUGCUGACGAGCGGCGAACGGGUGAGUAACGCGUAGGAAUCUACCCAGUAGCGGGGGAUAGCCCGGGGAAACCCGGAUUAAUACCGCAUACGCCCUAAGGGGGAAAGGGGGCAGCUUGCUGCUCUCACUAUUGGAUGAGCCUGCGUAAGAUUAGCUUGUUGGUGGGGUAAAGGCCUACCAAGGCAACGAUCUUUAGCUGGUCUGAGAGGACGAUCAGCCACAUUGGGACUGAGACACGGCCCAGACAUCUACGGAUGGCAGCAGUUAAGAAUAUUGGACAAUGGGGGCAACCCUGAUCCAGGUAUACCGCGUGUGUGAAGAAGGCCCUAGGGUUGUAAAGCACUUUAAUCAGAGAAGAAGCAUUUUAAGUUAAUACCUUAUUAUGUUGACGUUACCUGAAGAAUAAGGACCGGCUAACUCCGUGCCAGCAGCCGCGGUAAUACGGAGGGUCCAAGCGUUAAUCGGAAUUACUGGGCGUAAAGCGCGCGUAGGCGGUUUAACAAGUUGAAUGUGAAAGCCCUGGGCUCAACCUAGGAACUGCAUUCAAAACUAUUAAGCUAGAGUACGAGAGAGGAGAGUAGAAUUUCUGGUGUAGCGGUGAAAUGCGUAGAUAUCAGAAGGAAUACCAAUGGCGAAGGCAGCUCUCUGGCUCGUCACUGACGCUAAGGUGCGAAAGCGUGGGUAGCAAACAGGAUUAGAUACCCUGGUAGUCCACGCCGUAAACGAUGAGAACUAGCCGUUGGGCAGAUUUAACUGUUCAGUGGCGCAGCUAACGCAUUAAGUUC
This 834-nucleotide ribosomal RNA is filed under the name uncultured Gammaproteobacteria bacterium. Its description in RNAcentral is "bacterial SSU rRNA". It matches the Rfam family "Bacterial small subunit ribosomal RNA", at positions 54 to 867 of the family's 1533-position model. The record is from RNAcentral. Lineage: Bacteria; Pseudomonadati; Pseudomonadota; Gammaproteobacteria.